This is a long non-coding RNA of Symphalangus syndactylus (siamang), 6997 nucleotides long. RefSeq lists it as uncharacterized. NCBI's taxonomy places the organism in Eukaryota, Metazoa, Chordata, Mammalia, Primates, Hylobatidae. The record is from RefSeq and is a predicted model, not a curated record.
AGUGUUUUUUGUGUACAUGUUAGAUGACAACUCCUCGUGAAUUACGUGAUUGCCUGAAAUUUUUGCCUAAUCUAUAGGAUGCUUUUUAAUUUGGAAAGUAGUUUUCUUUGAUGUGCAGAAACUUUUCAUGUUGACGUAGACCCAUAUAUUUAUUUUUGCAUUUCAUGCAUAUAGUUUUUGUCACCCAUAUAAGAAAAUAUGUAUCAGUGACAAAGCAUUUAAUUGUCAAUGAGGUUUUUCUUCCAGGGUGUUUAUUUUCCUCUUUGCAAAGGUGAGCAGAGAUUCAAGUGACCCAAAAUAUAUGCUCAUCCUGUGUUUUAGUUAAAAACAUUUUGUGGUUUAUGGUCUUUUGUUUUGCCUUCAAUUUGGGAGAGGGGGUGUUCAUUUUCAUACAUCGUGUAAAAUAAGUCCUAUUUCUCGCUUCUGCAUCUGGAUAUCAUUUUUCUCAAAGGUAUUCAUUCUCUGCCUUCCACAUUGCAGUGUUCUUUAUCAAAGUCAGUUGAUUGUGUCCAUAUUUGUGUUGAUCAUGUUCUUGUCCUCCCUGUUUUUGUCCAUAGUUUAUGCAAGUAUCAUAUAUCAGCUGUAUAACUACAACUUGGCAGCGUAAUUCGGUAUUGAGGAUUGUGGGUCUUCACUUUGUAUUUCUUAGGAUUCCUUUAGAUAUUCAUUGCUUUUGUGGUUCCCUGUGAUUUUUAGCAAUACAUAUUUAUUUCUGUUAACUUUUUUUCACAACAUAAAGGUCCAUAAUUAGAGGUACACUUUCAUACAUAUAGAUUGGGUAAUGAUCAAAUCAGGGUACUUAGGAUCUCUAUUUGCUCAUCCAGGCAUUUUUUUUUUUUUUUUUUUUUUUUGUGGGGAGAACAUUCAAAAUUCUCCCUUCUUGCUCUAGAAAAAUAUGAUAUUGUUAACUCCAGUCACCAGGCUGAGGAGGAGAACCUCAGAUUUAUUCCUUUAAUGUUAAGAUAACUUCGUUUCCAUAAUCAAUCCUUCCCCAUUCCCCCUCUAUCUCCCAAACUCUAGUAAGCAAUAUUGUGCUUUCUACUUCAUUAAGAUAAACAUCUUAAGAUUUCACAUGAGUGGUAUCAUGCCGUGUUUGUCUUUCUAGGCCUAGCUCAUUACAUUUAACAUAAUGGUUUCCAGGUUCAUCUGUGUUGCUCUAAAUGACACUGUUUCAUUAUUUUGAUGGCUGAAGAAUAUUUCCUGGUGUUUGUUUAUGAGAGUUUCUUGAUCUCUUUAUCUGUGGAUGAACAGCUACUUUGAAACAUAUGAUACACUUGUGUUAAGGCUAGUCACCCUGCUGUGGAAUAGAAGACCAGAAUUGGUCACUCUCAUCUGAGAGUAACUUUGUACCCCAUCACUGAUUCCUUCUGAGACCACCUUCACUUCCCCAGCAGCCUCUGGUUUCUUCACGUGGCUGCAGAUGGCAGGAUUUCCCAAAGGUUUAUGGCUGAAACAUAUUCCGUGGUGUAUCUGUACAGCAGUUUCCUCAUCCCUGCAGCUGUGUUUGAACAGGUCAUUUACCAUGCUGUCCUCCGGGUUCAACAGUAUGGCUCCAAAUGAUGAAAUUUCAUUUUGAUUUUCUGGCUGAAGACUAUUCUGUUUGUGUGCGUCCCCCACAGUUACUUUAUCCCUUCACAUCUGUGGAUGGGCAGAGUCUCGCUCUGUUGCCCAGGCUGGAGUGCAGUGGCACGAUCUCAGCUCUAUGCAAGCUCUGCUUCCUGGGUUCAUGCUAUUCUCCUGCCUCAGCCUCCUGAGUAGCUGGGAUUACAGGCACCACCACCAUGUCCGGCUAAUUUUCUGUAUUUUUCGUAGAGACGGGGUUUCACCGUGUUAGCCAGGAUGGUCUCGAUCUCCUGACCUCGUGAUCUGCCGGCCUCGGCCUCCCAAAGUGCUGGGAUUACAGGCGAGAGCCACCAUGCCCGACUGUAUACUAAUUAACAUUCUUACCAAACGAGUUCUUCUCUGGAAAUUUCCACCAGCAUUUGUGUCUCUUUUAAUAUAUUUUAUCAGUUUGAUAACAUCCAUUUGAAUUAUAGUGAGAUGAUAUGUGUGUUGUAUUGAUUUAUAUCUUUCUCAUGGUUUGUGAUGUUAUUCAAGUUUUAAAACUUGUUUUCAAUGUUAUGUCUUUUUUGUAGAAAUGUCUAUUCAGGUUUUGUUUGGUUAUUAGUUUCUCUUUUGUGUUUUUGCUAGUAAGUAGUGUUAGUUGCUUAGACAUUUUGAAAACAGCCUUUUAUCAGAUGUAUGUUUGUCAAAACGUUUCUUGUACAAUGAAACAUAGAUGGAAAUGUUCUGUGCAAUAAAAACAGCAGUGGUAACAGAGGAGAUGUAGGCUCUGAGUGUCUCACUGGAGACUGAAGUCCACAGAUAUGCAACAAAGCCUUUGUCUCCCUGAUGUUUUUGCCUCCUGCUGGUCAUGUGCUUUCACACAUCAAGAGAGGACAUUUAACAUUUGAGCCACAGCGUCAUUUGCUCUUGUCUGAUGGGUGAGAUUUUUGCUGGCGUAGUCCAUAUUGUCAUAUGUUCUUGGGGCCCACAGGAUUAUUCUUGGUCAUCUAAGAUGUUACUGACAUCUUAUCACCUUAAGAUGUUGCUGACUUAAUCACCUUCAACUGACUCCUGUUCAUUCUUCGAAAUAAGCAAACACAUGUUGUUUCAGUGAUCCUUUCAGUUGGUGAUUUGCCUGGUGCAUUGCUGUGUGAGGUCAUCUCCCGUCAAAUGACCCACAGGUGUUAACAGUCUGUGAACAAACAGUUUACAGGAGGGACCAACCAUGUGUGGACAUGGGGUGGGUCAUUUCAAAGUGAGGUAGUCAACCUGUACCCUAGACUGGCACAGACAGAAGCCACAAUCCUUUAGAGAGAAAAAAAUUACAAAGUAUAAAUAUCCUUUGUUAAGAGAAACAGAGACCAUUUUCAGAGGGCAUAAUAGUAUUAAAAUGUGUUCUCAUUGUUCAGCCCCCACUUAUGAGUGAGAACAUGCAGUGUUUGGUUUUCUGUUCCUGUGUUAGCUUGCUGAGGAUAAUGGCUUCCCGCUUCAUCCCUGUCCCUGCAGAGGACCUGAUCUCAUACCUUUUUAUGGCUGUGUAGUAUUCCAUGAUGUAUAUGUAGUACAUUUUCUUUUUCCAGUCUUAUCAUUGAUGGGCAUAUGGGUUGGUUCCAAGUCUUUACCAUUGAGAAUAGUGCUGCUAUAAACAUACGUAGAGCAGAUGGUGCUCAAAGCAAGAUGAGCUCCAAGCUUGAUGGAGCUCAGAGCAGAUGGAGCUCCAGGUGAGAUGGAGCUCCAAUUAAUAUGAAGCUUGGAGCAGAUGUUGCUCAGAGUGUGAUGGAGCUCCAAGCCUAUGGUCUCAGAGCAAGAUGGAGCUCUGAGCAAAAUGGAGCUCAGAGCAGAUGGUGCUCAGAGCAAGAUGGAGUUUGGAGUGAUUGGAGCUCUGAGAAAGAUGGAGCUUGGAGCAAAUGGAGCUCUGAGUAAAUGGAGCUCUGAGCAAAAUGGAGCUCAGUGUGAUGGGAGCUCUAAGCAAGAUGGAGCUUGGAGCAGAUGGAGCUUCAAGCAGAUGGUGCUCAGAGCAAGAUGGAGCUUGGAGUGAUUGGAUCUCUGAACCAGAUGGAGCUCGGAUCAGAUAGACCUCUGAGCAAGAAGGAGCUCCAAACAAAAUGGAACUUGGAGCAGAAGUUGCUGGUGUAAGAUGGAGCUCAGAGCAGAUGGUGCUCAGAGCAAGAGGGAGCUCAGAGUGAUUGGCAUUCUGAACAUUGCUCUGAGCGAUUGGAGCUCUUAGCAAGAUGCAGCUCAGAGCAGAUAGAGCUCUGAGCAAAAAAGGAGCUCUAAGCAAGAUGGAGUUUGGAGGAGAUGUUGCUUGGUUUUAGUUGGAGCUCAGAGCAAAAUGGAGCCCACAGUGAUUACAGCUCCAAGCAAGGUGGAGCUCAGAGCACAUGUAGCUCAGAGUAAGAUGAGCUCUGACCACAUGGUGCUCAGAGCAAAAUGGAGCUAGAAGUGAUUGGAGCUCCCAGCAAGAUGGGGCUCAAAGUAGAUGGAUCUCUGACUAGAUGGAGCUCUGAGUAAGAUGAAUGUCUAUGCAGAUGUUGCUCACAGCAAGACAGUGCUUGGAGCGAUUGGCACUUCGAGCAAGAUGGAGCUUGGAGCAGAUAGAGCUUGGAGCAAGAAGGAGCUCCAAGCACGAUGGAGCUUGCAGCAGGUGCUUCUCAGUGUAAGAUGGAGCUCAGAGAAGAUGAUGUUCAGAGCAAGAUUGAGCUCAGGGUGAUUGGCACUCCAAAUAUUGCUCUGAGCCCAUUGGAGCUCUGAGCAAGAAGGUGGGAAGUGAGCAAGAAGGUGAAGAAGUGAUACAAUCCCACAGAACAUUACAAGUUUAGCAGAAGCUAUUAUUAAAUGUAAAGAGAAGAAUGCCCCAGAAUUCUAUGUGGAUUGUCAGGGGACAAUACUCAUUUCUGUAAUCAGGCAUACUUUCUUUGAAAAAGUUUAUCAUAUCAAACCUCACAAGGACAACCAGAACUCUGUGAUAUCCACUCUACAAACCUCAGACCCCUAUAAUGUAGUAAAGAUGACAGCCAAGAUAGAAAGACAGAAACACACUGCUUGAUGACCAGUCUUUGGAAGUUGAGACGGCAAAUAUGGAUUUACUCAGAUUAUUUUCCUGUUAGCACCUCCAGAUGUAAUUUUGACGGUACUUUGAAUUGGGCUGUGACACAGUGGGGAAACAUAAACUGCUGACACUGGACUUCAGCAGUACAGUAACAGCCAUGUGCAAGGCCAUUGAAAAUGACUGGUGGUUACAUUGCCACGUGUUUUUCUGCAUGGCAUCAUUAUCUUAACUAUGGACUUUAUAUGUUUUCACAGCAAGAUGUUUCUAGUAUUUAGAAAUGGACCUUAUGCAUCGUAUACUUCAUAAGAGCUUGGAAAGCUCUCACCCAGGUAUUACCAAAUGCCAGACAUCUCUCUGUGUAGGCCAUUUUCUGCCACAGCCAGAAUUCAUUCUGGGUGCCAUGCUGUUCUUGGCUGCUAAGGAAGUGAUGUGGGAGAGCCAGGUGUCUCUCGCUGUCUGUAAGUCUAUGGGAAACAGAACACUGAAAGGCACUAAGUUUAUUGCCACGUUUAGAGGAACUUGUCAAGGCAACACAAGAGUGUUGUAGUCCUAUGUGGCCAACAGUAACCUGAGUUUUUACAGCAGUUAUUGCAUAAUGAUCACAGUCACAUUCAAGUUCACUUUCUAAAUCUUAGAUUCUACAAAAACUCUGUCUGAUAAUGUCCUAUAGACCUUUCGGUAGCUAAAAUCAAUGAGUUUGAAAAAUAAUUUGAAUUUGGCUUGCUCACGUUUUCAGCAGAAUGCACUUGUGAGUCCUGCUCUGUCACUGUAUUUUACAUGUGUGGCUGUCCCUCUUGCUGUGUUGGAAGUCAAAGUUCCAGAAUGUUAACUUCUACAAAUACCUAUGUAUAGAGCGAAGAGAAAACUCUUCAAGUCAAAAGAGUUUAUGUUGUUUCAGGGCAGCUCUCUAGCCUUGGAUUUGAAACUAUAAUAUUUGUUACACAGAGAGAAGAUGGUUCUUUUUUGUAUUUUAUUUUUAAUUUUUGUGGGUACAUAGUAUUUAUGGAGUACAUGAGAUGUUUUGAUACGGGCAUGCAAUGUGGAAAAAAAGCACAUCAUAGAGAAUGGGGUAUCCCCUCAGUGAUUCUUUGAGUUACAAACAUUCCAAUUACACUCUUUAUGUUAUUUUCAAAUAUAUGAUUAAGUUAUUAUUAACUGUAGUCACCCAGGUUUGCUAUCAAAUAGUAGGUUCUUAUUAUAUAUUAUUUCUUUUUUGUUUUUUGUAUCCAUUAACAAUUCCUGCCUCCCCCUCACUCUCUCACUACCCUUCCCAGCCUCUGGUAAUCAUCCUUCUACUAUGUCCAUGAAUUUGUUUUUUUUUUUUUUGAUCCCGGAAAUAAGUGAGAACAUGUGAUGUUUGUAUUUCUGUGCCUGGCUUAUUUUUCUUGACAUAAUAAUCUUCAGUUCCAUCCAUGUUGUUGCAAAUGACAGGCUUUCAUUUAUAUGGCUGAAUAGUACUCCACUGUGUAUAUGUACCACAUUUUCUUCCUUCAUCUGUUGAUGGACACUUAGGUUGCUUUCAAAUAUUAGUAAUUGUAAACAGUGCUGCAGCAAACCUAGGUGUGCAGAAAUCUCUUUGAUAUACUCAUUUCCUUUCUUUUGGGUAUAUACCAAGCAGUGGGAUUUUUGGAUCAUAUGGUGGUAUAUCUGUUUUUUUCAGGAAACUCCAAACUGUCCAAGGAGAUAGUUCUGUUGUGAUCACUUCAUUGAGAAAUUUAACUUAUGAGCAGUUGAAAGGAAUGCAAGUUGCUGGAAAAUCAGAAUGAAGAGUGCAAAAUGACCAAGCUACGAUGUAUUGUCAUUAUUCACUCUGAUGUGAAAAAGGCAGUGAAUUUAAUAGAAAAUAACUUUGCAGAGUAAAAUCUCAGGUGUGUUUUUUUAGUGCCACAGUCUUGGAUGAUGGGUUCCCAGAAGCUCUCAACAUCUCUUCUUAAUUGGAGAAAGUGUUAAGCCCCAAAGUAGCUGGAGCAGUACAUCUUCAGUUUUUGACAAGAAAGCAGGAACUUGAUUACUUUGAGUGCUAUUCAUUAGUUUCUGCUUUCAUUGAGAAUGCAACAAAAGCCAACUAGCCUGCUGCUAACUCCUUGCUGGACAUCUUCUGCCACUGUCACAGGAACUGUGAUCUCACUGGACAAUUAACUAGGGAGGCUUUAACCUUGAAUGACGGCUGCACAAAUGAUCUUCAAAGCAUUUUAGCCACCAGAGGAAUUCUCUUCAAAUACCCAAAGUCCAUCAGUAUCCUGAAUCAUGCUGGAUUUUGAAUAAUUCUUAACGAGCCAUGUAAAGGGGGCUCUCUGGCCUUGAAAUAGUGAUGUUUUUUGUACAGAGAGGAGAAUGCAGAAUGGUCAGACUACCAUGCACUCUUAAAUUUGAUUUCAAGAAAUUACAGGAAAACUUUCCAAA